GCAAGUCGAACGAGAACGGGAUUGCUUGCAAUCCUUAGUAGAGUGGCGCACGGGUGAGUAACACGUAGAUAAUCUACCUUCAAGCCCGGAAUAACUAUUCGAAAGGAUAGCUAAUACCGGAUAAAGUUUGUUCACAUAAGUGAAUUAAUGAAAGAUUGCCUCUUCUUGAAAGCAAUUGUUUGGAGAUGAGUCUGCGGACCAUUAGUUUGUUGGUGGGGUAAAAGCCUACCAAGACGAUGAUGCAUAGCCGACCUGAGAGGGUGAUC
This 266-nucleotide ribosomal RNA is filed under the name uncultured bacterium. RNAcentral describes it as "partial 16S ribosomal RNA". It matches the Rfam family "Bacterial small subunit ribosomal RNA", at positions 57 to 305 of the family's 1533-position model. The record is from RNAcentral.